RNAcentral lists this transfer RNA (69 nucleotides) under Ictidomys tridecemlineatus (thirteen-lined ground squirrel). RNAcentral describes it as "Spermophilus tridecemlineatus (thirteen-lined ground squirrel) tRNA". It matches the Rfam family "tRNA". Rfam says of the family: Transfer RNA (tRNA) molecules are approximately 80 nucleotides in length. Their secondary structure includes four short double-helical elements and three loops (D, anti-codon, and T loops). Further hydrogen bonds mediate the characteristic L-shaped molecular structure. tRNAs have two regions of fundamental functional importance: the anti-codon, which is responsible for specific mRNA codon recognition, and the 3' end, to which the tRNAs corresponding amino acid is attached (by aminoacyl-tRNA synthetases). tRNAs cope with the degeneracy of the genetic code in two manners: having more than one tRNA (with a specific anti-codon) for a particular amino acid; and 'wobble' base-pairing, i.e. permitting non-standard base-pairing at the 3rd anti-codon position. Lineage: Eukaryota; Metazoa; Chordata; Mammalia; Rodentia; Sciuridae. The record is from Rfam by way of RNAcentral.
GGGGUUGUGGCUCAGUGGUAGAGCACUUGCCUAGCAUAUGUGAGGCCCUGAGUUCGAGCCUCAGCACCA